CCUACGGGGCGCUGCAGUGAGGAAUAUUGGUCAAUGGGCGGGAGCCUGAACCAGCCAAGCCGCGUGAGGGAAGAAGGUACAGCGUAUCGUAAACCUCUUUUGUCAGGGAACAAAGGCGGGGACUAGUCCCCGGCUGAGGGUACCUGAAGAAAAAGCAUCGGCUAACUCCGUGCCAGCAGCCGCGGUAAUACGGAGGAUGCGAGCGUUAUCCGGAUUUAUUGGGGUUAAAGGGUGCGCAGGCGGCCUGUUAAGUCAGCGGUAAAAGCCCGGGGCUCAACCCCGGCGAGCCGUUGAAACUGGCGGGCUGGAGUUGGAGAGAAGUAAGCGGAAUGCGUGGUGUAGCGGUGAAAGGCGUAGAGAUCGCGCAGAACCCCGAUUGCGAAGGCAGCGUACCGGAUCCAAACUGACGCUGAGGCACGAAAGCGUGGGUAUCGAACAGGAUUAGAUACCCGGGUAGUC
This 459-nucleotide ribosomal RNA is filed under the name uncultured bacterium. Its description in RNAcentral is "partial 16S ribosomal RNA". It matches the Rfam family "Bacterial small subunit ribosomal RNA", at positions 338 to 795 of the family's 1533-position model. The record is from RNAcentral.